RNAcentral lists this unclassified non-coding RNA (350 nucleotides) under soil metagenome. RNAcentral's name for it is "partial contains 5.8S ribosomal RNA, internal transcribed spacer 2, and large subunit ribosomal RNA". The stretch from base 1 to 120 matches the Rfam family "5.8S ribosomal RNA", at positions 35 to 154 of the family's 154-position model. The record is from RNAcentral.
GAUGAAGAACGUAGCGAAAUGCGAUACGUAAUGUGAAUUGCAGAAUUCAGUGAAUCAUCGAGUCUUUGAACGCACAUUGCGCCCCCUGGUAUUCCGGGGGGCAUGCCUGUCCGAGCGUCAUUGCUGCCCUCAAGCACGGCUUGUGUGUUGGGCCCCCGCCCCCCGGUUCCCGGGGGGCGGGCCCGAAAGGCAGCGGCGGCACCGCGUCCGGUCCUCGAGCGUAUGGGGCUUCGUCACCCGCUCCGUAGGCCCGGCCGGCGCCCGCCGGAGACCCCCCCUCAAUCUUUCCAGGUUGACCUCGGAUCAGGUAGGGAUACCCGCUGAACUUAAGCAUAUCAAUAAGCGGAGGA